AUGCUUCUCCUAAAGACUAAGCCAUGCAUGUCUUCGAAUAAGAGGAAGCAAUUCUCUCUGAAUCUGCGUACGGCUCCGCACACCAGUUGUAAACCAAAGCAAGCAAGCCCGGUCUCGACGCCUUUCGGGGCUAGGGGCCGGGCUACAAGGAUAACCCUGGUAAUUCUGAGGCUAAUACUUGACACCUAACCUGUCGACUGGGUCUCGGCCCGGGAAGCGGGGGGAUGUGCGACUAUCGGGCCAACGAAACCGGAAAGAGCG
This 261-nucleotide ribosomal RNA is filed under the name uncultured Meriderma sp. Its description in RNAcentral is "partial 18S ribosomal RNA". It matches the Rfam family "Eukaryotic small subunit ribosomal RNA", at positions 28 to 235 of the family's 1831-position model. Lineage: Eukaryota; Evosea; Eumycetozoa; Stemonitida. The record is from RNAcentral.